AUACACAUCCUUUUCUCUUCGAUCUCUCUCAAUUCACAAGAAGCAAAAUGACGGAUACAGCUAGAACCCAUCACGAUAUCACAAGUCGAGAUCAGUAUCCCCGAGACCGAGACCAGUAUUCUAUGAUCGGUCGAGACCGAGACAAGUAUUCCAUGAUUGGCCGAGACCGAGACCAGUACAACAUGUAUGGUCGAGACUACUCCAAGUCUAGACAGAUUGCUAAGGCUGUUACCGCAGUCACGGCCGGUGGGUCCCUUCUUGUCCUCUCCAGUCUCACCCUUGUCGGAACUGUCAUUGCUCUGACUGUUGCGACUCCUCUGCUUGUUAUCUUUAGUCCAAUCCUUGUCCCUGCUCUCAUCACCGUUGCAUUGCUCAUCACCGGCUUUCUCUCCUCUGGUGGCUUUGGCAUUGCAGCUAUAACCGUCUUCUCUUGGAUCUACAAGUAAGUGGACAUUUAAACAUAUAUUUCAAGUUGUACAAUAUGUUUUAAGAAGCGGUAAUUUAUUAAAUAAAACAUAAUGGUUGAAUAUAGCGACAUGCCUUGUGAGGGGAAAAAAAGUACAAACCAUAAAAUUAUACAUAACCGACAAGUGGAUUUUUAGAUAUUACAUUAAAAUGCCGUUUUACAUCAUCAUUUUGGCUAGCUAUACACAAGACUUGACUUAGCUAGCUUGAUACGUACGUGUAGUAUAUGAUGCAUGCACGUGUGUGUGAAUUGUGAUGAAUAGGUAUGCAACGGGAGAGCACCCACAAGGGUCAGAUAAACUGGACAGUGCAAGGAUGAAGCUGGGAGGCAAAGUUCAGGAUAUGAAGGACAGAGCUCAGUACUAUGGACAACAGCAAACAGGUGGGGAACACGACCGUGACCGUACCCGUGGAACCCAGCACACUACCUAAAUUACGCCAUGACUAUUUUCAUAGUCCAAUAAGGCUGAUGUCGGGAGUCCAGUUUAUGAGCAAUAAGGUGUUUAGAAUUUGAUCAAUGUUUAUAAUAAAAGGGGGAAGAUGAUAUCACAGUCUUUUUUUCUUUUUGGCUUUUGUUAAAUUUGUGUGUUUCUAUUUGUAAACCUUCUGUAUAUGUUGUACUUCUUUCCCUUUUUAAGUGGUAUCGUCUAUAUGGUAAAACGUUAUGUUUGGUCUUUCCUUUUCUCUGUUUAGGAUAAAAAGACUGCAUGUUUUAUCUUUAGUUAUAUUAUGUUGAGUAAAUGAACUUUCAUAGAUCUGGUUCCGUAGAGUAGACUAGCAGCCGAGCUGAGCUGAACUGAACAGCUGGCAAUGUGAACACUGGAUGCAAGAUCAGAUGUGAAGAUCUCUAAUAUGGUGGUGGGAUUGAACAUAUCGUGUCUAUAUUUUUGUUGGCAUUAAGCUCUUAACAUAGAUAUAACUGAUGCAGUCAUUGGUUCAUACACAUAUAUAGUAAGGAAUUACAAUGGCAACCCAAACUUCAAAAACAGUAGGCCACCUGAAUUGCCUUAUCGAAUAAGAGUUUGUUUCCCCCCACUUCAUGGGAUGUAAUACAUGGGAUUUGGGAGUUUGAAUGAACGUUGAGACAUGGCAGAACCCAACAAAUCACUCCAUUGAUCACCUGAAUUGCCUCUGAUCCUAUACCCUUCUUUCACCAUCUCAUCCCUCUUCUCUGACUUGAAUAUGGUCGCCGUUUUGUGGUCAUCAUCCAACGACCUGGUUGCAUACAUCACCAAAUAAAAGCGUUAAGCAUCCAAAUCCAAUGCUAAAUAAUAAUGACGAGAGCAACAUUGUAUUAGAGGAAAAUACAUUGACUCAAGAAAGCUGCCUACCUCAGAAUAAGCUCGUCCCAGUUAUUGAAGCCGGCAUUGAUCAGGUUCUCGAUCGUGAUAACCCUGUGGUUCUCUCUUCGCCCUGUAAGCAGGAUGACUUUGUACCCCAAAUCUUUAACCUUCUCAUAAAGCUUCAAGCUUGGUGCUAUUGCAGGUGCAGCUCCUUUCUCCACCCACUUAUCAAACUUCGUAUGAUCAAAAACUUCCAACCUUCAAAAUUUCCAAAAACAGACAUAGAUUCAUAUCUGAAACAUUUACGGUUAUAUCAUAGAUCCUGUCCUGAAGUUUCCAGACAAGCAAACAAAGUAUAUGACAAAAAAAUACAAUUUUUUUAUUGUAAAGGAAGAAACUUUCAGACAAAACAUUUUACCCACAACCGUGUUCCAAAUAAUAAGGAAGAUUCGACAAGAGAGUCUCGUCAAUAUCGAAGAUCCAAGUAUCCCUCCCAUCGUCCCCGCUAAACCCAAAGCUGCUCGCGUACACGUUAGCCUCUUCCGAGACCCUCUCCAAAUCGACGACGUAGCCUCUACCCAUCAGGUAAUCUUUCACGUAGCCGGCGCAUUCCGCCGGAAUCGUCUUCCACGGCGCGAGAUUGUUCGUCUCCGCCGCGAAUCUCCAGCUCGUGCAAUUCACAUUGACGUUAUCGUCGUCGACGGCGCUCUUGAGCUCGUGUGUGUCGAAGAUCAACGGUCGCGGAAGGACGUACGAGGUGGCGUUUUCGUUUGAAAACGCGAGAGAGAACAAGGACAAGACAAGAAGAAGACUCACAAGCAUCCGCAUCGUGUAAUGCCGGAAACAAAAAGAUGUGAUUUUGAUCAAAUGGGUAUCAAGAAUAUUCAAAAGGGUCUUCAAGAAUCUGAUAAAGUUCCACGAUGGUGAAAGGAAUCAGGACUUAAAGCGAAAUCAGAAGAAAAAUGGAGAGGAGAAGAGUUUCAUUUUCCCAAUCAAGAAGAUAGAAUGGAAUAAAGAAACCCUAGAAACAGCGCGUAGGUACAGAGCUUUUGGAGUCUUGUUUUUUUUUUUGUUGUCAAUGGAGGAGGAAUCUGAGACAGAAAGCUACUGUUUCUUUUUGGGUAAUGAAGACGACAAGAUCCUUUGUUCUCUGUAAUGGCCAUAAAUAAAUAUAGAUAACAAAAAAAAAGGCGUGUGGUUUCGGUUUUUAAUCUGUGACAAUUAAUUAUAAGUUCGGUUUAUCUUUAGAAUCACAAAACAAAAGUUCGCUUCGAAAGAACGGAACAGGAAGAAUACACAGUGGGACGUCUUGCCUUUUAUACACCCAAAAAACGCUACACAGUUUUGGUUUUACUUUAGUCUAGACCUCCACUCCAUGAUGGCUGUGUAAAGAGUAUAGUUGGGCAGAAGGUUCUUGCUAAGUAACGGUGAAUCAGUCAUCGGCGAUGUGUUGUGCUCCUCAAACCACUCCUCUAUCGCACGACGGUCAUAUGUGUAUCCAUCAGCCGCAACGCAUGGCUCGUUCAUUACGUCCUGCAUUGAAUAAACAAGCUCUCACAUUUUAGUAUUCUCAUCUAACCAGUUACUUGACUUGCAAGUAACCAAUGACAUAAAGAACAAGGUUUAUAUAAGAGCUACCUUAAGUAAGGGGCAGAGGAAAUGAAACGGAGGUUGAGUCGGCACACUGGAAAUCGAAUUCCUUGCCUUCUCAGCUACUUUCUUCAGGCUUUCGAGCGCCGGAAGAAUCUGAUCUCUUAAGUCAAGCCUAUCUUUCCCACGUAGGCUCUCAAGCGCCGGAAGAAUCUGAUCUCUUAAGUCAGGCCUAUCUUUCCCACGCAGCUCUGUGCAACAUAGAGCCAAUGAGGUCAGUUCCCUGGUCUCUUCAACUGGCCAGUUACCUGCUUUCUGAUCCAAGAUCUUGAGAAACUCAUCGUUACUAUCCAUUGCACUCUCAACUAAGUGUGUCAAUGCCAUAGGUGGUUUUGCUGUGAGGAGCUGAAGAACUAUCAUUCCAAAUGAAUACACAUCUGAUUUAGAUGAUAUCAUUCCCGUGCGUUGAUACUCUGGAUCCAUGUAACUCAACGUUCCGACAGGGCUUGUUUGUUUGUAAAUAGUGAAUUUAGUUGAUAGAGGGUCGACUUGAACCAUCGUUGAGAGUCCAACGUCUCCGACUUUGCUGACAAAGUUGUGAUCAAGCAAGAUGUUUGCCGGUUUUAGAUCACGGUGAAUGAUCGGUUUAGGUUUCGAUUUGUGGAGGAAGACAAGAGCUGCAGCUACUUCCCAUGCGAUCCUAACCCGCUCAAACCACGGGAGUGGUGGACUGUUGUUGACUUGGAAUAGUCUGUCCUCCAAGCUACCGUUUUCCAUGUACUCAUAAACUAAAGCUCCUUGCUCAGGGCAUGCUCCCAGAAGGAGUACCAAGUGAGGGUGCCGAAUCUUACUCAAGAUUUCGAGCUGCAAAGUAAAAUGAAGCUUCUUAAAAAAAAGAAGUUCCGAAACCGAACCAAAAUUUCAAGCCUAGUUAACCACAUAUAUAGGCGAAUUCCGGUGAGUUAAGCAACCCGGAUUCAAAAUAACCCCACGCACUAAAUAGCCACGCAGAUAUAAGGCCAUUCUUUAGGCUUCAUUUGAAUAUCCGGAGAGAGGGUCUAUCCCUAAACUACAUCUCCUCUUGGAUAACUAGUCCAGACCUUCAAUAGGCCCGGGAUACUCAUAGAUUAAUAAAAAAUAAGUGUUCAAGUCUAGUCCAUACCUCUUGUUGGAACUGUUUGGAGAGACCAUUUUCAGCGGAGUGCAGAACUUUGACAGCUGCGGUUGUAUGAUGCAUAUUACACUUGUAAACAGAUCCAUAAGCUCCCAUUCCAAUCUUCAACUCUUCUGAGAACGAUGAAGUGGCAGCUACAAUUUCUUCCCAAGUGAAGUGCUGAUACUGAAGCCGCGGAGAGCCAAGAGUGUCUUCAAGCUUCUCUUUCUCUUUAGCAUCACGAGCAGCUUUCCUCUCAGCUUCUCUUCUCUGAGCAAUCUCUCUCUCUGCUCUUUCUCUCAUGUUCUCUGCAUCUCUCUUCGCCUUUUCAAAGUUCUGCUUCUCCUUUUCUGCUAAUUCUCGAGCUUCAUACUCCUUUAGCUUUAGCUCUUCAAGCUUUAUGGCUUCUUCUAACCGACGUUGGUUAAGCUCACCAAGCUGAAACGUUGUCAAGAUGCAUUGAAAAAACAAACUAAUAGGUUCAUUGCCAAGUUAUAUAAGACUAUGCGGCCUUUACCUUUCGAGAAGCAUCAAAGGUUUCGGUUUGGGCAGCAGUAUACAUUUCUUGAACAUGUCUAAGCUCAGCUCUCAACUUCUCAACCUCAAAGCUUAGGUUUACCUAAACAAACAACCUUACACUAUUAUUUCAUUUACAAGAAAAUACAAUUUAAAACUCCAUUUUAGUAUACCUGGUUAUCUGUAUAAGAAUGUUCACUUAGAUUAUCAGACAUGUUGGAAGCUUGUUGAGAAGCCCUAGAGUGAGUGGUAUCAAUCACCAUGCCUGUCCAACUAAAUUUACCACCCGCAUUCGCAUAUUCACGGUUGCUAGAUGAAGAACUCAUAGCGUCUUUUCUCUCCUCAUAAUCUCUAAGCCGUGGAGUCCAACGUGAUGUAGUAUCUGUGCUGCUUCUAUUGAUACUCGAAACAUCUUUAGCUUCCUCUGCAUCCAUAGACAUGCACCUGGUGUCAUCCGAGCCAACAGAACUCGUGUCCAUUGGAACUGAUGCUUGUCUACCAAUUGCCGGGACAUGUUGAAAUCUCCUGACCGGAAGGGACAGAGCACGAGAUUGAGAUUGAGAGUCAAGUGCGCUUGAAACUCCAUCUGUUGAUUCUAGAAGAGAAAUGAGGUAUAAAAGUUAGACCUACCCACUAUGUAUGGUAGCAUAUUUAUACAAAAUAGCAAUGUUCAAGAAAUCGCUAGCUAGACGGUAGCUAAGCGUUUUAUAGAAAAUUACUGUUUAGGGAGAUGUCUAGACCGAUUUUUUGAAUGCUUAGAUCGAUUUUUUUAUAAGAUCGUUUCAUUCAGCAACUAGGUGCGGCUUAAACCGAUUUUUAGAACAGUGCAAAAUACAUUGAUGAGUCAUGUACCUGAGUUGGGACCAGAAGAACCACUGGAGGAAUCAGUUCUUUCACUACCAUCAUCUCUUAUAGUUGCAUUGCCGUCUGAGUCUGAUGGCCGGACGCAUGACAAUUUUCCUUUUGAAACAACAUAGACUGUACAAAAGUUCGGCACCAAAGCUGAUAUCGCCGAGCACAUAUCAGCUUUCCUGAAUUUUUCAAAGCAGAUUCAUUGGGACAAGAAACCAAAACAAUAAAAGGUUCAAGGCUAGCAGCUCAUCUGUGUGUAGUGUACCUUGAGAAAAAGCUACGGGAUGAGCCUCCAAUGACAAGUCUCUCUAUUGAAUUCCGAGAAACCACUUCAGCUAUAGCGGCUGCCACAUUAUCUGACUCGAUCACAUGAACUUCUACAGCAACCUUUCUCCGCUCGAACAUUUUCUUAUAAGGUUUAAGAACUUCUUCAGCCUGCCACAGCACUUCCUGUCUAUAUGCAGCUACUACAUCAUCUCGAACCUCGGAUAUAGGGAUUGUAUUUCCCACUUGAGAAUAAGCAACAAAGGAACAUCAGAGUUUUGUCAGUUACAAUAGUCUUUAAGUUUCACAAAUAAACAGAAACAUGAGUCUUAGUUGGAGCUUUACUUGGUGUAGGUACAGAAGUAAUCCUUGGAUGGAUGUGAAGUAGCUUGAAGCCAACAUUGGCUUCAGGAGCAAAUUUUUCAAGCGCCCAUGUAACAACAUUUUUGUUUUUCCUGCUCUCACUAAGAGCCACGAAGACGGUAUGAGAUGGAGGAGGAAAAGUUGGAGGAGGAGGAGGAAGGGCAAGAGUGUCUGGUGAUCUACUCAUAGUCUUUCUUGUUUUCUUCGUUUUGCUUUUACCCUACACACUCAAACCAUUUCAGACACAGCAAAACAAUGUCUUUAAAAGAGAACUUCUUCCUAAAAGUAGAGACAAAACAAGAAACAAAUAGACAUGGCCAGCCCUAAGAUUUAAGGUUCUAUAGGAAUUUUUUAAAAGAUUUCAACUAAAACAAUUUUCGUUAUAAACUUGGAGGCCUAAAAUAUUUUUUCUUAGCACAAUGCUAUUAACCAAGUCGAUCUUCAAGGUAAUAGAUUUGAACCCUUAAUAGUAACUAAAGUGUAAAGCAAGUAACCCAGAAUUUGAAUCUACCUGGUAGGAAGAGACUUAAGUCAAACCCAAGACAGAACAGGAGAGAAGAGGAACGUUAUGCUUCUAUUUCAGAAAAGCAUUUAAUGACAGAAAGAGCAGCCGAAGAAGAAGAAGACCCACGUUCGUGCUGCUAAUCUCAGAUACAAUCAAUGGCUUCUUAUAAUCACAGAAUCUUAUGAAGAUAUCAAAAUUUAUUCGCAAUCAUUUUAGGAUAAAUAAAUUAAAACAAUCAAUCUUAUCUAUCGUAUAUGAUGUAUAAUUAAAUUCUAAGAAAAUGAGACAACUUGCUCGUGUUAUUAUAUCGUCAAAGGAUCACUCCUGGUAUAUACUCUUUUGGUUCUCGACAGAAUUUUCAUUCAUUAUCGUAGUGACAGAAGGGAGUGUGUAAUGAAAGAAUGAAGUAUUCUCUAUUGUUAUUAUUUUAAUCAUGUUUAUCUCCUAACUCCUAUUUAUUCGAUGAUAGUAUUAAUUAAUUAUUACAUUUCUCAACGCUAUUAUUAAAAAACUUACGUUUGCUCUUAGUUGCAGGCAUGACCUUUGCUUUCCUCACGUCUAUAUGUCUCCCCUUUAUAAAAAAUUUAUGUUAUCAGUUUUUUUGUCAACUAUAUUAUCAAUCUUAUAUAAUACAGUAAGAUUUUAGAUUUACGAUUUUGAGUGUUAAUAUUAUUACUAGGAUAAGACAUGCGCCUUGUGCAUGAUAAAUUUAUAUGAAAAUUAUUUAAGAAAUAUCGUAUAGAAAAUAAAAUUUAUAUUAUUGAUCGAAUUAAUAUUUUGGCUCUUAAACAAUUUUUUAAAAACUUUUUUUGCUAAUUACAUAAUUUAUUUACUAAUGAACGGAUCCAAUUUUUAAAAUAUUUUAGGUCAAAAAAUUAUUUAUCGCAUAAAAACCUAACGUUUAGGCCGAAGAAUUUCAUGUCUACUAUUUGGUUACAACGAAACUACGACAGCUCGGUUUUAUAUCAUGAUUUAGCAAUUUAAAAAUUAAUUAUGGUUAUGAUAAGUUUAUGUUCACGUGCCAAUCCGAUCUAUCUUCGAUAUUUUUUUUUGUGUCAUUUUGGUUAUAAAUAUUAAUUUUUAAGUUUAUUCUCAUUUCUUUAUUUUAUUUUGGCUUGAGAUUUAAAAAAUAUUUAAGAUUCAAAAUUAUUAAAGAGAUAUAUACUUAGGUUAUGAUUUGCGUCUUGUGCAGAAUAAAUAUUUUAUAUUUAUUACUUAUUUUAUAUUUUUCUGCAUAUUAUGAAAUAAUAAAAUAAUAAUUAUAUAUUAAAUAACUAAGAAAUCGGUACUAUUAUGUAAUAAAUUGGCUUACACAUAUAAAUCAAAUGACCGCUCUUUUUAUUCGCAAUCAUUUUAGGAUAAAUAAAUUAAAACAAUCAAUCUUAUCUAUCGUAUAUGAUGUAUAAUUAAAUUUAAAUGAUAUGAAGUAUAUAUAUAUAUAUUAACAUAAACACCUAUUAAAAUAAAAUUAUUUAUUUAUAUGAUUUUAUUAUCAUUGUAUCUUAUUAUAGAAAAAAAUUUAAACAUUGAUCACAAAAGUUUAUGUAAGACUUUUAAAAGUUAUAGUAAUUUAUACUUGUUUUAAAAAAUUCAAAAUACAACAUAUACAAAAAAAUAUAAAUUUUUAAUAUAUGAUUAAUGUAAUUGUGUAAUUUAUUUUAAUAAUUAAGAAUUAAACAAAAAUGAUAAAAAAAAAUUACAGAUUAUUAGCAAAUCUUCAUUAUUUAAAAUCAUUAAUUACUAUAUAUAUAUAUCAUAAGCACAUUAGGUAAUUUCGUAGGUUUUAUUUAAGAAAAUAAUAUAUAAUAAAUUUCAAUUUGAUAAAUGAAUGAUCCAUAAUAGACAUACUAUAUAAUAUAAAAUUUCAUAGUAAUUUAAUUUUGGACUAACAAAAUUAAAUUGAUUUUUAAGUCGCCAUGUUAAAAAAUUAACAUUCCAAUUAAGUGACAACUUAGCAUGACAUUUUUUUAAUUAGUACAAACUACAUGUUCUACACUUUUUAAAUGUUUCUCUAUUAAUAUAUAGAGAAUGUUAAACCAUUGAUCAUUAAUUUUUAACAUAAUAAUCUUAACAGUUUAGUAAUUUUGUCAUUUUUUUAAAAUUCAAAAUAUAACAUAUACGAAAAAAUCUAUAUUUUAAUUAUAUGGUUAAUUUGAUUGUUUAAUUUAUUUUAAUAAUAUAAAAUUAAACAAAAACGAUGAAUGAGAUAAAUUGUUAUCAAAUCUUUAUUAUUAGAAUCAUUAAUUGUCAUAUAUAUUAGUGAUAUUUGGUAAUUCCGUAGUUUUUAUUUAAGGAAAAGAAAGAAAAGAGUAAUUAUAUACUUUAAUUAAUUUUAUGAUUAGUUUAAUGAAAAGUAUAAUAUAUACUUAAUUGGACCAACAUAUUUUUUAAAGAUUCUGAAUUUCAUUCUGGUGAAAAUACGUGGUUACAUUUAAAAAUUGUAAUGUUUUUCAAUUAAUAUAUAAGGGAUAACUUAGGUAGAAAAAUAAGGAACUGUGUUUAAUGUGGCACACCUCGCUGUGGUGCGGCCAUAGUGGUACCAAAAUAAAUAAAUAAGGGUAUGUAACUUUCUGUUCUAAAUUGUCAACCUUUUUAACUGGUCGUUUGUUUUACUGCAACAAGAUUUUAUAAUGUUUGCAUCAUUGCAUGUGUUUUGAACAAAUGUCUUUAUCGAAGUUAUAAAAUCCAUCUUCUUGCUUUGGACUUUGGAAACAAGUAAAUCUAGUGAAAGACAACAACAAAAAUUUCCAGUUUCGUUGAUAAGAACAUCUCCAUUGGAAAUAUCUCAAAAUAAGGUUUUCAAUCAAAUUCAAGUAUAUGUAUAUAAAUAUUAAAUUAAAACAUAAAUAUCUCAAAAUCAACCAAAAAGUUUUUCUAUAAAAAAAUUUGGGUUGGAUUUUCCAUAAUUUUAAGAUAUUUAUAUAAUAUUUAUAUUACAUCAAAAUUUGAAAACAUUUUAUGAGAUCCUCAAUAAAGUUGCUCUAAAAGUAUUUUAUUUUGUAGUUUUGCAAAAUGUUUGUUAGUGGUUUAGAAUUUUUAGUUUAGAGUUCUGAACGCUCAAUCUAACCUAUACUAAAAGCAGGAUAUCAAGCCCUCUAAGCGUGUCCACGUCGGAUUAAAAAUUUGGACCAAUCAGAGAGCUUAUAAUUGCCAUGUCACCAUCGCUGAGUUAGACGGACUUUCAUUCGGCCCAUCCACUCACCCAAACUCUGCUCAUUUCAAGCCUUUCGAGUCUCUUCAUCUACGCCGAUCUCUGAGUUUUCUUUGCGUUAUCUUCUAAAUCAAUAAUGAUCUUAAAACUCAUCUUGAAUAUGUUUCGUUCCACCCCCCGAAAAAACAAACUAAUAGGUUAAUUGCCAAGUUAUAUAAGAAAUUAAUUAUUAUUUUCUUUGUUUUGUUUACUCUAUAAAUUUUCCACUCAUUUUCUCUACUUUAAUUUCUUCUCAUUUACUUCAACACCUACCAAUCACACUCUAGAAAAAAUAAUAAGGAAUAAUCACAUUUGUUAGCUAAAUUAGGUAUUUCAAGGAACACCUUGUUUUCGGAAAUUUUCUAGCUCAGCUUUAAGUCUUCAUACACACUGUCCGUUUUUUCAUAGUGACGCCUCUGUAUUUGAGUCCAAAGACUCGAGGCAUCAUUUUUUGUGAGAGGGAAAAAACAAAGAGAUUCAUCAAUGGUUAAUUUGAUCCCGUAUACGACUAGUUUCUAGUGCAUCCAUCUGCAAAACCACACAAGUCUUCAUAGUCUUCUCAAUCCUUACUUGGUUUCUCAGUAGAUCCAUCUAUAAAACCAAAUUUCUUGUGUGCUUUCACGACCAUAUGUAUGCUUGCGUACCAUUCAUCGUAAAUGGGUCCCAUGCAAAACUGGUCGUGAGAUCACUGUUCCAGGAUCGUCACAUGCAAUUAACACUACAAGAAAACACGGAUUUUGUGACUGAUUUUCCCGACUGAUGCUGUAGUCGCUUAUUUUACCAAUUGUUUACCAACUUAUUAACGAACCAGAAAUUUCAGUAGCAAAAUAGUCGCUAAAUAACGACAAAGGAAAUAGUCGCCUUUUAGUCGUAAAUUAACGACUAAAGAGCGACUAAUAUGUAUUCGUUAAAUAGCAGUCGGUAAUCAGUCGGCAAAUUAGCGACUAAUUACCUACUGAAUUAUUUUGGAGCUUAACAUUCACCUUUCAGUCGCUAAUACAGUGACUGAUUACCGACUGAAUAUAUCAGUCGCACUAUCAGUCGGAAAUUAGUAGGAAAACAGUCCGUAAAUAUUAUCCUAAACCUAAAUCUGAUAACCUAAACCCUACAUGUUUUAAACCCUAAACUUUAAAUAUAAACCUUAAAACUCUAAGCAUUUCAACACAAUAAAUCUUAAUCUAAACCCUAAAUGCCAUUUCUUAAAACCCUAUAUCAUAAAUACAAACUCCAAUUAUAUUAUUUAAAAAAUUAAAUACUAAACUUUAAAUCUAAAUCUCAAACAAAAUGUUUUCAAGUUUUAGAUAAGAACUAACGUAGUGGUCAGUACUCCACUAUGGUCAAGCUCUCCACUACGCCCUCGGUCAAGCUCGUUGCUACACCCCAGGUUAAGCUCGUCUACUCCGCCUGCUUUUUCAUCACUUGUCUCGGCUUUUGUCUCAAGGUGCAUAUUCUCGUCACCGGAGAUUAUGAAGCUGAAGAUUACAAGAAGAUUAUUGGAGCUUGGUGUAUUGCGGCGGAGAAAACAAUACAACUAGGUUUAGAUUUACUUUUUGUAAUUAGGUUUAAACUAAUCAACCGGUUUUGAUUUAAACUGGUAUUCUCUUGUUAACCAAAUUUCUUAUUUAUCUGAUUGUACCUGGUUAAAACCACUAACCAUUCCCAAUAUGGGAAAAAAUUAAUAAUUAUAAUUUGUUUUUAAAAAGUUGAUAAUAAUUUUUUUUUUUUUUUUUGCAUUUAGUUGUAAAAACAUUUGUAAAAUCAGUCACUAAUUAGUAGCAAUUCAGUAGCAAAAUUUUGCGACUACGUAGCUACCGAUUUACGACUAGUGGUAUCAGUUGGAAAUCAUACGCAAAUUUGAGACUGAUUUGCGACUGUUUUAUUUAGCGACAAGCUCUAUUACGACCACUGAAAUCAGUUGCUAAACAGUCACUAUUUUCAGUUUAGCGACUGUUAUCCUACCAAAUUUGCUGUCGGGUAAUCCAUUUUUUUGUAGUGUAAAUCAUAAGGAAGUAUUGUUCUCCUUGUUACUUCAACAAGAGAUUUUUACUGUGCUAGAUCCGAAGAUUUGGUAUGUGAAUCAAUGUACAUCAUAAGAAAGAAGAAGACGAUGAAAUAAUCGAGAUCUUGAGGUAAAAAAUAAGAAACAUAGUCUUGGAUCGAAAAACAUGAUAACUUAGGUCAAAGAACAGAUAGUAGUUGUAAAGAGAAAUCUUAUUGAUAUCAAUUGAAGGUUGUUCUUUAUAUUCAAGAGAGCCGCAAUACAACGGUUAAUCUAAAUACCGAACAUAAGUCCUAGGCCCAAUACAUAUCUAUCUUACCACUACAAAGUUACAUGACCGGCUAGAUAUUUCUUGUCUAUAGUAAUAUUCUCCAAUCAACUCAAAUUCCAUCCAAACAAACUCAAAUACCAUAUAAGGCCAACUUUAAAGAAAAGAAACAUAGAUGAGUUUCUUACAAAAAUAUAGUACUAUUUUAAUUUGUUGAUGAUUUAAAUCAGUUGAAUCAUUUUAAUGAUGACAUAUUUGUUAUCUAAGUUUCUAAAAAUUGAUGUAGGUUUUUCAGACUAGAAUCGUCUCUCGAAUAUCUCUUCUUUUUAUGUGUUCUUGUUCAUUUUUUCCUAUAUGUUAUAUUUUGAAUUUUUAAAAACGAAUAUAAAUGAAUAAAGUUGUUAAAAAUCUCACAUUGUAAUUUUUGUGAUCCAUGGGUUAAAAUUUAUGUUAUAACAAUAUACAAAUGAUUACAAAAUAAAAUAAGUAGAAAAUGUCAUUUAAUAAAUAUUAUAUAUAUGUAUAUUAAUAUUUUUUAUAAAUAAAUUAUAUACCAUAUAAAAUACAUAAGUAUUUUAAUUUCGAAUUUGCAUUGAUUUUUUUUAUAAACAUUUUGAAAAAUUAUUAAGAACUUAAUAUUAAGAUUUUAAACUUUGCAUUGAAUGUUUUUAAAAUUAUAAAUUACUAAAACUAUUAAACAUCCCACUAAUUUUUUAUUUUUAUCGUGGAUUUAAAAAAUUUGUUAUAAAUAAAUACAAAUGAUCAAAAAUAAUAUGAGUAUAAAAUAUUUUUUAACAGAUGUCAAUAUUAAAAAUGUACUAUAUAUCUAUGUUAAUAUCAUUUGAACUAAAUUUUAUACCAUAAAAAAAUAGAAAAAAGUGUUUGUCUGGAUUAAUAAAAUUUAUUUAAGUAUUUAUACCAAUUUAAUUAUAUACGUAAUAGUUACUAAAUUUUUAAUUAUUCAAUAUACAUUUAUUAUUUCAUAAUAUGUAAAAAAUAUAUAAUACUUAAAAAUAAUUUAUAUAUAAUAUUCAUUCCGCGUAAGGCGCGGGUCUUAACUUGAUAUGGAGAAACAAACUAAAUUUUCAUAUAUCAUCGCUCUACUUGGGAUCUAACUAAAACUCUCAAAAAUACUCAAAAAAUAAUAAAUUACGUUCGUGUAACCAUCAUGUACUAUAAAAACAUAUUGUACGUUUUCUACAAGUCUACUUCCUAAAUUUUUGGUAUUCGGAUAACAGAAUUUCUUUACAACAAAACUUCAUCACCA
Molecule: long non-coding RNA, 13715 nt
Filed under: Brassica napus (rape)
Lineage: Eukaryota; Viridiplantae; Streptophyta; Magnoliopsida; Brassicales; Brassicaceae
Description: long non-coding RNA (BNAP_LNC000235)
Source: RNAcentral